RNAcentral lists this ribosomal RNA (629 nucleotides) under uncultured bacterium. Its description in RNAcentral is "bacterial SSU rRNA". It matches the Rfam family "Bacterial small subunit ribosomal RNA", at positions 27 to 655 of the family's 1533-position model. The record is from RNAcentral.
GGAUGAACGCUAGCGGCAGGCCUAAUACAUGCAAGUCGGACGGGAUUGGGAGCUUGCUCCCAUGAGAGUGGCGCACGGGUGCGUAACACGUAUGUAACCUACCUUUAUCUGGGGGAUAGCCUCUCGAAAGAGAGAUUAACACCGCAUAAAAUCACAGUACGGCAUUGUACAAUGAUCAAAUAUUUAUAGGAUAAAGAUGGGCAUGCGGGACAUUAGCUAGUUGGCGGGGUAACGGCCCACCAAGGCUACGAUGUCUAGGGGAUCUGAGAGGAUGGCCCCCCACACUGGUACUGAGACACGGACCAGACUCCUACGGGAGGCAGCAGUAAGGAAUAUUGGUCAAUGGAGGCAACUCUGAACCAGCCAUGCCGCGUGCAGGAAGACGGCCCUAUGGGUUGUAAACUGCUUUUAUACCGGAAUAAACCCUUUUACGUGUAGGAGGUUGAAUGUACGGUAGGAAUAAGGAUCGGCUAACUCCGUGCCAGCAGCCGCGGUAAUACGGAGGAUCCAAGCGUUAUCCGGAUUUAUUGGGUUUAAAGGGUGCGUAGGCGGCCUGUUAAGUCAGGGGUGAAAGACGGUGGCUCAACCAUCGCAGUGCCUUUGAUACUGACGGGCUUGAAUGCAGCUGA